Molecule: ribosomal RNA, 546 nt
Filed under: uncultured Planctomycetota bacterium
Lineage: Bacteria; Pseudomonadati; Planctomycetota
Description: bacterial SSU rRNA
Rfam family: Bacterial small subunit ribosomal RNA
Source: RNAcentral
AGAGUUUGAUCCUGGCUCAGAAUGAACGUUGGCGGCGUGGAUUAGGCAUGCAAGUCGUGCGGAAAGGCUCCUUCGGGAGUACUCGAGCGGCGAAAGGGAGAGUAACGCGUGGAUUACCUACCCCCGGAUCCGGGAUAGCUGCGGGAAACUGCAGGUAAUACCGGAUAAUGUCUCCGGACUAAAGGUGUGAUUCCGUCUGGGGAUGGGUCCGCGUCCUAUUAGCUUGUUGGUGGGGUAACGGCCUACCAAGGCAACGAUGGGUACCGGGUGUGAGAGCAUGACCCGGCUCACUGGGACUGAGACACUGCCCAGACACCUACGGGUGGCUGCAGUCGAGAAUCUUCGGCAAUGGACGAAAGUCUGACCGAGCGACGCCGCGUGCGGGAUGAAGGCCUUCGGGUUGUAAACCGUUGUCAGAGGGGAUGAAAUGCUGUAAGGCUAUCCUUGCAGUUUGACAAAUCCUCAGAGGAAGUACGGGCUAAGUUCGUGCCAGCAGCCGCGGUAAGACGAACCGUACAAACGUUAUUCGGAAUCACUGGGCUUAAA